GCCAGCAUGGCAUAGUGGUUUGAGUGUAGGACUAGGAAUCUGGAGAUUGGGGUUUUAUUCCCCAUUUAGCCA
Molecule: non-coding RNA, 72 nt
Organism: Phrynosoma platyrhinos (Desert horned lizard)
Lineage: Eukaryota; Metazoa; Chordata; Lepidosauria; Squamata; Phrynosomatidae
Source: the annotation of a GenBank genome assembly